This 859-nucleotide ribosomal RNA is filed under the name uncultured bacterium. RNAcentral's name for it is "bacterial SSU rRNA". It matches the Rfam family "Bacterial small subunit ribosomal RNA", at positions 52 to 916 of the family's 1533-position model. The record is from RNAcentral.
CACAUGCAGUCGAGCGAAGCAGUUAAGAAGAUUCUUCGGAUGAAACUUGAUUGACUGAGCGGCGAACGGGUGAGUAACGCGUGGGUGACCUGCCCCAUACCGGGGGAUAACAGCUGGAAACGGCUGCUAAUACCGCAUAAGCGCACAGAGCUGCAUGGCUCAGUGUGAAAAACUCCGGUGGUAUGGGAUGGGCCCGCGUCUGAUUAGGCAGUUGGCGGGGUAACGGCCCACCAAACCGACGAUCAGUAGCCGGCCUGAGAGGGCGACCGGCCACAUUGGGACUGAGACACGGCCCAAACUCCUACGGGAGGCAGCAGUGGGGAAUAUUGCACAAUGGGGGAAACCCUGAUGCAGCGACGCCGCGUGAGCGAAGAAGUAUUUCGGUAUGUAAAGCUCUAUCAGCAGGGAAGAUAAUGACGGUACCUGACUAAGAAGCCCCGGCUAACUACGUGCCAGCAGCCGCGGUAAUACGUAGGGGGCAAGCGUUAUCCGGAUUUACUGGGUGUAAAGGGAGCGUAGACGGCAAGGCAAGUCUGAUGUGAAAACCCAGGGCUUAACCCUGGGACUGCAUUGGAAACUGUCUGGCUCGAGUGCCGGAGAGGUAAGCGGAAUUCCUAGUGUAGCGGUGAAAUGCGUAGAUAUUAGGAAGAACACCAGUGGCGAAGGCGGCUUACUGGACGGUAACUGACGUUGAGGCUCGAAAGCGUGGGGAGCAAACAGGAUUAGAUACCCUGGUAGUCCACGCCGUAGACGAUGAAUGCUAGGUGUUGGGGAGCAAAGCUCUUCGGUGCCGCCGCAACGCAUUAAGCAUUCCACCUGGGGAGUACGUUCGCAAGAAUGAAACUCAAGGAAUUGACGG